This 591-nucleotide ribosomal RNA is filed under the name uncultured bacterium. Its description in RNAcentral is "partial 16S ribosomal RNA". It matches the Rfam family "Bacterial small subunit ribosomal RNA", at positions 355 to 932 of the family's 1533-position model. The record is from RNAcentral.
UGGGGAAUAUUGCACAAUGGGCGCAAGCCUGAUGCAGCCAUGCCGCGUGUGUGAAGAAGGCCUUCGGGUUGUAAAGCACUUUCAGCGAGGAGGAAGGUGGUGGACUUAAUACGUUCAUCAAUUGACGUUACUCGCAGAAGAAGCACCGGCUAACUCCGUGCCAGCAGCCGCGGUAAUACGGAGGGUGCAAGCGUUAAUCGGAAUUACUGGGCGUAAAGCGCACGCAGGCGGUUUGUUAAGUCAGAUGUGAAAAUCCCCGGGCUCAACCUGGGAACUGCAUUUGAAAACUGGCAAGCUAGAGUCUCGUAGAGGGGGGUAGAAAUUCCAGGUGUAGCGGUGAAAUGCGUAGAGAUCUGGAGGAAUACCGGUGGCGAAGGCGGCCCCCUGGACGAAGACUGACGCUCAGGUGCGAAAAGCGUGGGGAGCAAAACAGGAUUAGAUACCCUGGUAGGUCCACGCUGUAAAACGAUGUACGAUUUUGGNGGUUGUGCCCUUGAGGGCGUGGCCUUCGGAGCUAACGCCGUUAAAUCGACCGCCUAGGGGAGUACGGCGCAAGGUUAAAACUCAAAGGAAUUGACGGGGUCAUAGCUG